UCUAACACUCCCCCCGUUGGACCUUCGUCUAACUCAGAAUCCGAACUCGAAUCUGAUGUUUUGUCCAAGAAUGGAGCGGUAUUCUCAUACUCUGGGUCUAUCUGUCCGGCGUGAAGCUCUAAUGGAUAUAGACAUUUGAUGUCUCUGAAGAUCGUUGUUGAUCCCUUCCCUUUAGUCUUGUCUGCUAUUAGCACAGCUACUCGUCGAAACUUUUUAUCUGCUCCGGGGUAGAGUUUAGCUACUCUUCCUGUCUUCCAUUUGGAUCUUUUCGCAUUUUCGUCAUGUAUUAUUACGACUUGCCCGAUUUCUACCUGUUUGACCUGUCCCGGGGUGGGACAGUGGAAUUUUUCUAAAUCCGCCACGUAUUCUUGGUUGAAGUUCUCCCACCAAGUGGCUAGUAGAUCUCGGCGUAGUCGCUCUCUUUUGGUCAGAGUUACUCUGUCUGAGUACUCUGUCUCUCUUUCGUCUAUCGUGUGUCUUUGCCCUUGUCUGUGUCCCGAUAUUAAUUGUUUCGGUGUCAGUGGCUCGUUGUCUUCUUCCGACACGAAAGUUAAGGGUCUUGUAUUGAUUGUGUCCUCUAUUUCUGUCAGCACUGUCUGAAAUAGAUCGUAUUCUAACCUGCCUACUCCAUAAGUUUUGUACAGCAGUCUCUUUACUGUCUGUACCAUCCUCUCCCAAAAUCCUCCCCACCAGGGAGCUAGACUCGGGGAGAACCUCCAUUUGAUAUUUAACCCGGCUAGGGUAUUAUAUACUUUCUCGCUUUUGUAUGCUGACCUUAAGUAUUUUGCUGCCUUCGUGAACGUACCCGCGUUGUCUGAAUACAUUGUCUUGGGGAAUCCCCUUCUCGAAAAGAAUCUUCUUAAGGCGUAUAUGAAUGUUGCUAGCCCCUGAUCUGUGGUGACUUCUAAGUGCACCGCUCUUGUGACUGCGCAUGUGAACAAGCAUAUAUAUGCUUUCGCAUUUAUAUUUGUUCCGAUUUCUACAGGAAAAGGUCCGGCGAAGUCUACCCCUGUCGCCGUAAAGGGAUUCGAAAUCAACAAUCUGUUGAUUGGUAGGGGAGCCGGAACCUCAUUAAAUGCGUGCGAGUCUAACCUUUGGCAUUUUACACACCUCCUGAGCUGUUUUUUGGGCUGCUGCGAUCACUGCUGCGUUGGUAGCUCUGGUCUUGUUGAGUUCCUCUAGUUGUUUUUGCUCCUCAGCGUUGAGUAGUGGCACGCCCUUCUGCGCUUCUGGUACCGGUCUGGCGUACGGUUUUGGUCUUUUGCUCUCGACUUUCUUUUGUUCUGGGAAUGGUUCUGGUAGUCUUAAGCGUCUAAAGACCCCCUUGGGAAUAGUGUUUUCCAACUCUUUCCACAAGGUGUAGCUACGCACAUCGGAGUCCAGCAAGGAUUGAAAAUAAUUAUACACGUUCUUCUGGUGUUCUGCCACUGAAAUCAGAGCCCAACACCGGAGUGUCAGCGUUUUUUUUUGUGUGUAUUUCUAGGCCUAGCACCGAAGUGCCAGCGUAUAUCUUUUGUUUAUUGGCCAACCUGUCACCUUAUCGGGUGACAGUAUCAAGAAGAGUUUUGCCGUAGAGUACGGAAAAGGAAUGCGGUUUAUUGCCGCGACACAGCAGCAAUAAUCAAAGAUGAAGAGAAGUAGAGAAUAUAUAUAUAUCUAAUUACUAAUGACGAGGUCUUCUUCUUCUGUAGAUGGCUGGAGGCUCCGGAUGGUUGUUGGCUGGAAUAGUUGGCGGAGGUGGUCUCGAGGGACACAGCAAGGCGGCCGAAGUGACAGGCAGCAAUCCAAUCCGCGAACAGCAAAGGCAAUAGCAGGCAGCGGCGACAACAACAACAACAAGAACAGAAAACCAAUCAAAGACAAUACUACCGAAUGAAGGAGACGAACGCCGGGAAAAUCGGUGGAAAAAUAGUGUGUAUUAAUGAGGCCUAUUUCAGCCCCUUAUAUACCAAUUAUAAAAACA
Daphnia magna is the source of this 1963-nucleotide long non-coding RNA. RefSeq lists it as uncharacterized. The transcript has 2 exons. The record is from RefSeq and is a predicted model, not a curated record. NCBI's taxonomy places the organism in Eukaryota, Metazoa, Arthropoda, Branchiopoda, Diplostraca, Daphniidae.